Triticum aestivum (bread wheat) is the source of this 2592-nucleotide long non-coding RNA. RefSeq lists it as uncharacterized. The record is from RefSeq and is a predicted model, not a curated record. Lineage: Eukaryota; Viridiplantae; Streptophyta; Magnoliopsida; Poales; Poaceae. The transcript is spliced from 6 exons.
CCCCCCCCCCCCCCGCACCUCACAACGGCAUUUCCUGAGGAGCAGCCCGAGCGAGGCCAACAUGCGGAAGGAGCGGAUCAUGGCCUCGCACGCUGGCUCGUCAUCUGCUUUGGCACCUUUCGGAUCCGCGCUGCUGCGUGCGAUGGUUCUAAAUCAGUGCAGGUCGUCGCCGCGGGAUAGUAGGGCCGGCGGAUUCUUCGCAUCGGGGGCUGGCUGGCAAGGGAGGGUCAGGAGGCCGGCAUGACUUGCUAACGAGUAGAGGUUGAUUAUCUUGCCAUCCUCUCCUGCGUCCACUGUCGCGCCGUUCUGCCUUCGGCGAUUAAUUGAGGAUGGAGCAGCAGGCAUAGAUGAAAUCUACUGCCAAUUUCUAUUGGUUGCGGCAUCUUCCGCUGAGUAUGAAGAGUGGUCAUAAUGUUACUUAAAGGAGGCCUCAACUUGCACCAAAUACAUGGGCAUGUGCAACAGCAACUUAUGUAGGUUUCUAAAAUCUAAUAAAUGCUGCUCUCAAAUCAGUUAGGAGGCUGAAGGUAGUAGCUUACUGAACUCUCAUUUCCGGAAAAAUCUGGAGAUGUCUUGGUACGGAGUUUCAUGAUCAACUUGCUCCGGCAUAGUUAGUCUUUCUAGACUAAUUGUUUGUCAGUAUCUAUUCUAUACAUGUGUUUGAUUGGUUGUGCAAACAUGCAUGCAUUGUUCUGUGUGGAAAUUGCUUUAUCCGGUCUGUUCUAUAGCAAUGUUUCCAGUGGCUGUUUAACACAUAUAUUUAGAUAGUUGCAUACGCAUGCUUGGUUCUGCCAGAAAAUUAUCUUCCCUGAUAUGUUUUCAGAUGCUAUUUGGUAUACAUGUUUGUCUUUGUCAUCUUUAUGUUGAGUUGUGGGUUCCAAAGAUAUUUAUGAUGAUCGUUUGCAUGGUGGGUCAUGUCAGCGAUGUGUGUUGCAUAUUCAUGAUUCAAACUCUUUGUUGGGUAUAUAUCUAUAUGAAGUUGUUUUUGAAUGGCCCAUGAUUCGUUUUUUAUUAGUAUUUUAGUUUAAGCAUUUCUCCAGAGAAUCUUGAUAUCCAGCUGUAUAUAUAUCCAGUCAUGUUUUUUUACUCUGACCGAUUUCUUUUUUUGUUUUGUUUUACAGUUUGUACAAUCUCUAAAGAUGGUGCUCCAUUGUUCUGUUAAUCAAGAUUUGUUCCCUCCUUUCUUACUAGCUGAUACAUGAUGACCGUUUGCAUGGGGGGUUAUGUUAACUAUAUUCUAUUCAUGAUUCAAACUGUCUGUUGGGUAAUUUAGUUUAGACAUCGUGUCCUGAGAAUCUUGAUAUCUAGCUGUAUCGGUAUAGUAUAGUUUGUGAUUUUUCCCUCUGAAUUUAUAUAUCCACUCAGGUUGGGAUAGGUUAUGAGUAUUCUUAGUGUGGAAACAGCGGCAGUGCUGCACUUUCAUCAGAUGAUGAUAUGCCAACCUUGCGCCAUUUGGCUCUAUGUUACCCGAAUAAGAUAACAAAAUACACAUGCUCAAGUAUAUAUUUUUAAUACCCCCUGAUGAUGCCUCAUUUCUUCAGAAUUUGAGGCUGUUCUUGAUAUGCCAGGUAGGUCCGGCUAUCGAGUCAACAAUUAUAUUUUGUAGUGUGUGAUGAUACAUUAAUAAUCACACUUGAAUGUGUUACCUAAACCUGUCUUGCUUUUGUAUUUCAUCCUCCUUUGAACCAUCCAAUGACUUGGUCACUACAAAUGAUAAGUGUGAGGUGUACAGAAACCUGCACCUUAUAUUCUUGUCUUGCUUUUGUAUUAUAUCCCCCUUUGAACCAUCCGAUGACUUGUGCACUACAAACGAGAAGUGUGAGGUGUACAGAAACCUGCACUUCAUAUUUCUUACAUUCCUGUUUUAUUUAAUGUCUGAGCCUCUUUAUAUUGCUUACAUAUGUGAUUUAUCUAAUCUCUGAGCAAGUGUGACUGUUUAUAAUUGGGUUAAUAAGCCCAGUUGUUUGAAGAAGCAAUUUGCAUUCCAUAUUUUAGGAUUGUACUAAUUCUUCUAUCCGUUUUUGAUUUGCCCCUGCCAUUGUAGAAUUAUGAGUGGGUUGACUUUUCUUGACGUGUAUUUUAUACAACGAGCAACUACCUUGUGCCGUCUUCCAGCCACCAACAACCCCAUGACCCUGCAUCAGGACAAAUUUGAUUUUGGGAAGACAAAGGUCUGACAAGGAUGAUAAUGGGAUACCAGAUUACAACGACGGAGGCUCGGACAUGGAUCUGCUCAUGCUCUCAGCGGGAAUACUGGAUGUUCUCGAAGCUUUUCCAUACACACGUGCUACUUUUGGCACUUGCGUGGGCUCCAGUUUGUGUCAAUGCAAUUUGCAUCUGUCAGCGGAUUAUGGCGAGCUUGGUUAUUGGCCUACAGGGGUGCGUGGAAGCUUGCUAUCCAUGUGCCAGAGCCAUGAGUUGGUUGCGAGAUCUUAUGGGUUUCACCUCUAGCCUACCCCAACUUGUUUGGGACUAAAGGCUUUGUUGUUGUUUUUUGUUGUUUUUGGUUAUUGGCCUACAGGAAUGUUUGUGUAUGGAUGUCACAAAAUUGUUAUGCAGAAAAUAAGAGUGUAGUACAUUUCAGAGAUACAA